RNAcentral lists this ribosomal RNA (459 nucleotides) under uncultured bacterium. Its description in RNAcentral is "partial 16S ribosomal RNA". It matches the Rfam family "Bacterial small subunit ribosomal RNA", at positions 338 to 795 of the family's 1533-position model. The record is from RNAcentral.
CCUACGGGUGGCAGCAGUGAGGAAUAUUGGUCAAUGGCCGGAAGGCUGAACCAGCCAAGCCGCGUGAGGGAGGAAGGCUCAGAGCGUCGCAGACCUCUUUUGCCGGGGGACAAAAGGCCGGACUCGUCCGGUCCUGAGGGUACCCGGAGAAAAAGGAUCGGCUAACUCCGUGCCAGCAGCCGCGGUAAUACGGAGGAUGAGAGCGUUAUCCGGAUUUAUUGGGGUUAAAGGGUGCGCAGGGGGAUUUUUAAGUCAGCGGGAAAAUCGUGGGGCUAAACCCCAUCCAGCCGUUGAAACUGGGGAUCUAGAGUGUGCGAGAGGUAUGCGGAAUGCGUGGUGUAGCGGUGAAAUGCGUAGAUAUCACGAAGAACACCGAUGGCGAAGGCAGCAUACUGGUGCACAACUGACGCUGAGGCACGAAAGCGUGGGUAGCGAACAGGAUUAGAUACCCUAGUAGUC